AGGUUAAGAGGAGUGGUUAGCUUCUGCGAAGCUACGAAUCGAAGCCCCAGUAAACGGCGGCCGUAACUAUAACGGUCCUAAGGUAGCGAAAUUCCUUGUCGGGUAAGUUCCGACCCGCACGAAAGGCGUAACGAUUUGGGCACUGUCUCAACGAGAGACUCGGUGAAAUCAUAGUACCUGUGAAGAUGCAGGUUACCCGCGACAGGACGGAAAGACCCCGUGGAGCUUUACUGUAGCCUGAUAUUGAAAUUCGGCACAGCUUGUACAGG
RNAcentral lists this ribosomal RNA (269 nucleotides) under Staphylococcus aureus. RNAcentral describes it as "partial 23S ribosomal RNA". It matches the Rfam family "Bacterial large subunit ribosomal RNA", at positions 1874 to 2142 of the family's 2925-position model. The record is from RNAcentral. Lineage: Bacteria; Bacillati; Bacillota; Bacilli; Caryophanales; Staphylococcaceae.